UACAUAGGGUGCAAGCGUUGUUCGGAAUUACUGGGCGUAAAGCGCAUGUAGGCGGCUAUUUAAGUCGGGUGUGAAAGCCUGGGGCUCAACCCCAGAAGUGCAUCUGAAACUAUUUAGCUUGAAUAUGGUAGAGGGUAGUGGAAUUCCUGGUGUAGUGGUGAAAUACGUAGAUAUCAGGAGGAACAUCGGUGGCGAAGGCGGCUACCUGGACCAAUAUUGACGCUGAGAUGCGAAAGCGUGGGGAGCAAAC
This 250-nucleotide ribosomal RNA is filed under the name uncultured bacterium. Its description in RNAcentral is "partial 16S ribosomal RNA". It matches the Rfam family "Bacterial small subunit ribosomal RNA", at positions 524 to 773 of the family's 1533-position model. The record is from RNAcentral.